AACGAACGCUGGCGGCAGGCCUAACACAUGCAAGUCGAGCGAGGACUUCGGUCCUAGCGGCGGACGGGUGAGUAACGCGUGGGAACGUGCCCUUUGCUUCGGAAUAGCCCUGGGAAACUGGGAGUAAUACCGGAUGAGCCCUUUGGGGGAAAGAUUUAUCGGCGAAGGAUCGGCCCGCGUUGGAUUAGGUAGUUGGUGGGGUAAUGGCCUACCAAGCCGACGAUCCAUAGCUGGUUUGAGAGGAUGAUCAGCCACACUGGGACUGAGACACGGCCCAGACUCCUACGGGAGGCAGCAGUGGGGAAUCUUAGACAAUGGGGGAAACCCUGAUCUAGCCAUGCCGCGUGAGCGAUUAAGGCCUUAGGGUUGUAAAGCUCUUUCAGCUGGGAAGAUAAUGACGGUACCAGCAGAAGAAGCCCCGGCUAACUCCGUG
This 433-nucleotide ribosomal RNA is filed under the name uncultured bacterium. RNAcentral describes it as "partial 16S ribosomal RNA". It matches the Rfam family "Bacterial small subunit ribosomal RNA", at positions 29 to 507 of the family's 1533-position model. The record is from RNAcentral.